RNAcentral lists this ribosomal RNA (236 nucleotides) under uncultured soil bacterium. RNAcentral describes it as "partial 16S ribosomal RNA". It matches the Rfam family "Bacterial small subunit ribosomal RNA", at positions 26 to 266 of the family's 1533-position model. The record is from RNAcentral.
AGGACGAACGCUGGCGGCGUGCUUAACACAUGCAAGUCGAGCGGUAAGGCUCCUUCGGGAGUACACGAGCGGCGAACGGGUGAGUAACACGUGAGCAAUCUGCCCUUCUCUUCGGAAUAACCAUUGGAAACGAUGGCUAAUGCCGAAUACGACCUCCUUUCGCAUGAUCGGAGUGGAAAGCUCCGGCGGAGAAGGAUGAGCUCGCGGCCUAUCAGCUAGUUGGCGGGUAACGCCAC